CCUACGGGUGGCAGCAGUGGGGAAUAUUGCACAAUGGGGGAAACCCUGAAGCAGCGACGCCGCGUGAGUGAAGAAGUAUUUACGUACGUUAAGCUCUAUCAGCAGGGAAGAAAAUGCCGGUACCUGACUAAGAAGCCCCGGAUAACUACGUGCCAGAAGCCGCGGUAAUACGUAGGGGGCAAGCGGUAUCCGGAUUUACUGGGUGUAAAGGGAGCGUAGACGGCAGCGCAAGUCUGGAGUGAAAUCCCAUGGCUUAACCAUGGAACUGCUUUGGAAACUGUGAAGCUAGAGUGCAGGAGAGGUAAGCGGAAUUCCUAGUGUAGCGGUGAAAUGCGUAGAUAUUAGGAGGAACAACAGUGGCGAAGGCGGCUGACUGGACUGUAACUGACGUUGAGGCUCGAAAGCGUGGGGAGCAAACAGGAUUAGAUACCCCGGUAGUC
RNAcentral lists this ribosomal RNA (440 nucleotides) under uncultured bacterium. RNAcentral describes it as "partial 16S ribosomal RNA". It matches the Rfam family "Bacterial small subunit ribosomal RNA", at positions 338 to 795 of the family's 1533-position model. The record is from RNAcentral.